This is a long non-coding RNA of Strigops habroptila (Kakapo), 1849 nucleotides long. The record is from Ensembl. Lineage: Eukaryota; Metazoa; Chordata; Aves; Psittaciformes; Psittacidae.
UUUUUUAAUGUCUCUAACCUUAUAUACUUGUACCUGUGUUUCAGGUCAUAACUCAUUUCAAGCCCAGUUGUGAAAGCUUAAAGCUACACUCAGGCUCAAGCCUAGGUCGCAGUUUAGGAUAUGCAGAAGAAGAAAUCUCAGGUGCUCCCAGUCCCCUGGCAUAGCUCUGCAGCAACAACCAGCCAUUUGCCUUUCUGGCAAUGCCACAUGUCUAGGACAGUCCUUCAAUCUCAUGUUGCUAAGACAGAUGGGUUAAGCAAUCAGGGCUGCUGGCAAAUCCAACAGCUCAGUCCUGAGAAGAGCAGGGGGCAGGAUACACACCACCCUGAGAAUACUCCACCCAUAUUGUCAGAAACGACAUCAUCAGUACUGCCAGUAUAAUCCAUGGAGAGACAGUUUGCUUGUUGUAUUUUACUUUUUAUAUGGGUUUUCUACAAGUUCCACUAAUUUUCUGCUAAUUUCCUUUCAUGUAGCACAAAAUAUGUACAGCCAUAUGGCAACAGUUCUGUCACCAAAAUUCUCUACAGGAGAUUCAUAACAAUUAAAGGCUUUUUUUGUCUUGUUCUUUCAAGAAAUACUAAUUAAAUCAGCCUGCUUAUGUAAUGCAAAAAACCAUGGCAUUUGCAUAUUACUUUUCAUACCACCAUAUGUCCAAAUCUGAAUUGGUCUCAAGCUAAGGGGUCUUCCAGCGAUAUCUUUAAAAAAAGAGCCUUAAGAUGUUAGCCAGACAAAGAAGCCUCUGACAGUUUAGUAGCUGAAAAAGAACACUUGGGCCAUAUUAAUUAAUGCUAAGUAUGUUUUUUUGAGGAUGACAGAAUUCUGAUGCUCAUGAGAUCUCCUAGAGGAGGUUUUUUUAUUAAAACACUCCACUAAACCUUAAAGUUGCCACUACUGCCUUAAAGAACCAGCACUUUCAGGAUGUGUAGCCCAAACUGUCUUUUCUCUCUAAAGCUUAAGGUCCAACAGGCAGUUUUUAAGUACACUAUGAAAGACUUUUCUUUUGCACUGUGAAGCAUCUAAAGACAGCAUAACAGUAGACAGAAGUGGGCAUUAUCAUCUUCUAUUUACAGUAGGGGAACUAAGAUAGAUUAACUGCCUCACACACUUCUCACAAAAGCAGCAAAGAAUAGCCCCUGGAAUGAUCCUUCAAUUUACCUUAAACACUGUGUUAGAAAACUCUUUUUUUUUUCCUGCCUGAAGAUUUUCUUCAUUAUGAGAUAGUUUGAGAGGUCUUUUUCAGUUCCAAUUAUUUUUUAAGAAAAUUAAGCAAUUUCUUUAGAUUUUUGGUUUUAUAUUAUCCUUACCGUUUCUGACAUCCUCUUGCAGUUUGGCAAAUAAAUACCUUUCCAUUUGUUCAUUUCUGUUAAAUAAUGCUGACUUCUUAGUGUUUCCUCUGUGAAUGGAAAAAAAAAAGUCAUUACUUGUGCUCCCUCUCUAACUUCUAGAUUCAUCCAUGUUGGUACACAACACUUACUGGUAACAAUGUGUUUCUGGGAAUUGUAUGAAUUGUCAUUAAAUUCAAGGGUCUAAUUCAGGAGAACAUGAGAAAUGUUCUAAAUGGUCUAAAUGAAAAAAACACUCAAACAAAAAAACCAAACAACAGUGCAAUAUUAAAACACAUAAGUAGACAUUUGCCGAAAUUCAUAACCCAAAGAACAUAAAAAUACUGAGUUGGAAGAGUGAUAAACAACAAAGGAGCAGUCAUUGCAUUAAUCAAUAAUUUUCCUCACAAAAGAAAGUCUGAAAUCCUAACAAAUUAAAAGACAUUCUCCUUCAGUUUAUAACAAUCUUAAGGAGUGUGAAAACUCUGACAGUCCCUUUAAACAGUCAUUCAUUGUAAGCAAUGACA